GCUGAUGUGGCUCAGUUGGUAGAGCGCACCCUUGGUAAGGGUGAGGUCCCCAGUUCGACUCUGGGUAUCAGCACCA
This 76-nucleotide transfer RNA is filed under the name Escherichia coli. RNAcentral describes it as "tRNA-Thr". It matches the Rfam family "tRNA". Rfam says of the family: Transfer RNA (tRNA) molecules are approximately 80 nucleotides in length. Their secondary structure includes four short double-helical elements and three loops (D, anti-codon, and T loops). Further hydrogen bonds mediate the characteristic L-shaped molecular structure. tRNAs have two regions of fundamental functional importance: the anti-codon, which is responsible for specific mRNA codon recognition, and the 3' end, to which the tRNAs corresponding amino acid is attached (by aminoacyl-tRNA synthetases). tRNAs cope with the degeneracy of the genetic code in two manners: having more than one tRNA (with a specific anti-codon) for a particular amino acid; and 'wobble' base-pairing, i.e. permitting non-standard base-pairing at the 3rd anti-codon position. Lineage: Bacteria; Pseudomonadati; Pseudomonadota; Gammaproteobacteria; Enterobacterales; Enterobacteriaceae. RNAcentral also lists the same sequence under 1 other name. The record is from RNAcentral.